RNAcentral lists this ribosomal RNA (428 nucleotides) under uncultured Spirochaeta sp. Its description in RNAcentral is "bacterial SSU rRNA". It matches the Rfam family "Bacterial small subunit ribosomal RNA", at positions 952 to 1382 of the family's 1533-position model. The record is from RNAcentral. Lineage: Bacteria; Pseudomonadati; Spirochaetota; Spirochaetia; Spirochaetales; Spirochaetaceae.
CGAUGCAAACCGGAGAACCUUACCAGGGCUUGACAUAUACAGGAAUGUUGUAGAGAUACAGCAGCCGCUUGCGGUCUGUAUACAGGUGCUGCAUGGCUGUCGUCAGCUCGUGCUGUGAAGUGUUGGGUUAAGUCCCGCACGAGCGCAACCCCUAUCAUCUGUUGCCAGCAUUUAAGGUGGGGACUCAGAUGAGACUGCCGGUGACAAACCGGAGGAAGGUGGGGACGACGUCAAGUCAUCAUGGCCCUUAUGUCCUGGGCUACACACGUGCUACAAUGGCCGGUACAGAGUGAAGCGAAACCGCGAGGUGAAGCAAAACGCAGAAAGCCGGUCUCAGUACGGAUUGGAGUCUGAAACUCGACUUCAUGAAGUUGGAAUCGCUAGUAAUCGCGCAUCAGCAUGGCGCGGUGAAUACGUUCCCGGGCCUU